Molecule: ribosomal RNA, 568 nt
Filed under: Russula sp.
Lineage: Eukaryota; Fungi; Basidiomycota; Agaricomycetes; Russulales; Russulaceae
Description: SSU rRNA
Rfam family: Bacterial small subunit ribosomal RNA
Source: RNAcentral
UCAGGAGUCAAAGAAUAUUAGUCAAUGCUCGAAAGAGUGAACUAGCUAACUGAAAUCAAUAAAAUAAAUUGAUAACAUAAGGGAAAAUAAUGAUAUUACCUUAUUAUUAGUGUCGUCCAAAUCUGGUGCCAGAAGACUCGGUAAGGCCAGAGACAUAAACGUUAAUCGUCUUAAUCAGGCGUAAAGGGUUUGUAGGCGGCUUUAAAAUUUACUUAAAAAUUAAAUAAGUAAAGAAUAAAAGCUAGAAUCAAAUAGAGGAUAUAUUAAAGAACGCUUAGAGUAGGUCUGAUAUCCUUAGAUACUAAGUAGAAUAUUAAAGGCGAAAGCUUUUUUCCAUUAAUGAUUGACGCUCAGAAACGAAGGUGAGGAAAGGAAAUAGGAUUAGAUACCCAGAAUACCCCUCUCUGUCAACGAUGAAUGGUAGUUAUUAGUAAAAUUAUUAAUGGCAAUGUUAACACGAUAACCAUUCCGCCUUGUGAGUACAACUGCAAAGUUGAAAACAAAAAAAUUAGUCGGUUUCGGAGCAAACGAAGUGAAGCAUGUUAUUUAAUUCGAUAAUUCCGCGAAA